This 375-nucleotide ribosomal RNA is filed under the name uncultured bacterium. RNAcentral describes it as "bacterial SSU rRNA". It matches the Rfam family "Bacterial small subunit ribosomal RNA", at positions 524 to 898 of the family's 1533-position model. The record is from RNAcentral.
AACGUAGGGUGCAAGCGUUGUCCGGAAUUACUGGGUGUAAAGGGAGCGCAGGCGGACCGGCAAGUUGGAAGUGAAAACUAUGGGCUCAACCCAUAAAUUGCUUUCAAAACUGCUGGCCUUGAGUAGUGCAGAGGUAGGUGGAAUUCCCGGUGUAGCGGUGGAAUGCGUAGAUAUCGGGAGGAACACCAGUGGCGAAGGCGACCUACUGGGCACCAACUGACGCUGAGGCUCGAAAGCAUGGGUAGCAAACAGGAUUAGAUACCCUGGUAGUCCAUGCCGUAAACGAUGAUUACUAGGUGUUGGAGGAUUGACCCCUUCAGUGCCGCAGUUAACACAAUAAGUAAUCCACCUGGGGAGUACGACCGCAAGGUUGAA